RNA transcript from Mus pahari (shrew mouse), 1657 nucleotides. It is a transcript of the gene named protein tyrosine phosphatase type IVA 2 pseudogene, with no coding region annotated. NCBI's taxonomy places the organism in Eukaryota, Metazoa, Chordata, Mammalia, Rodentia, Muridae. The record is from RefSeq and is a predicted model, not a curated record. The transcript has a single exon.
UUGCCAGCGUUUUUCAUUGGAAUUUACGUUGUACAUUUAUGGCGAUUCUGAGCGUGAGGGCAGACUUCUGCCAGGCUCAGCACAGCCUUUUCGCUGACAAGUGAGCUUGGGGUUAUAUGUGCCAUAAUUAACAUUGCCUUGAAGACUCUGNACACCGAGACUGGCCUCAGAAGUAGUAGGCAUUUUUUUUUUUUUUUAAAUUGCAAGCGUAUUCUUUUAAUGACUCCAGUAAAAUUAAGCAUCAAGUAAACAAAAGUGGAGAAGAAUCUACACUUUUAACUUGUCUCACUAGUGCCUAAAUGUAGUGUAAAGGCUGCUUAAAUUUUGUAUGUAAUUGGAUUUUUUUUGGAAGCUGAAGGUAUCCAUCUGCAGACAUUGAGGNUCAAGUUGAAUUUGGAUUCAAGUGGAUUCUUAAUACUUCUGCCUGUGUUGAAGAGAGAAGCUUCAUAAGGAAUAAGCAAGUUGAAUAGAGAAAAUAGUGAUCAAUAAUAGGCAUCUUAGUGGUCUUUUAAAUGUUUUCUGCUGUAAAACAUUUCAAGAUUUAUUGAUUUCCUCCUCCCCCCAUUUUUUCCCACCACACUCACACACGCACGCUCACACUUUUUAUUUGCCAUAAUGAACCGUCCAGCCCCUGUGNAGAUCUCUUAUGAGAACAUGUGUUUUCUGUUAACUCACAACCCCACCAAUGCGACUCUCAACAAGUUCACAGAGGAACUUAAGCAGUAUGGAACUUUGUUUCGAGUUUGUGAUGCUACAUAUGAUAAAGCUCCAGUUGAAAAAGAAGGAAUCCACGUUCUAGAUUGGCCGUUUGAUGAUGGAGCUCCACCCCCUAAUCAGAUAGUAGAUGAUUGGCUAAACCUGCUAACCAAAUUUAGUGAAGAGCCAGACUGUUGUGUUGCAGUGCAUUGUGUUGCAGGGUUGGGAAGGGCUCCUGUGCUAGUCGCACUUGCAUUGAUUGAAUGCGGAAUGAAGUACGAAGAUGCUGUUCAGUUAAGACAAAAAAGAAGAGGAGCAUUCAAUUCCAAACAGCUGCUUUACUUGGAGAAGUACCGACCGAAGAUGCGAUUACGCUUCAGAGGUACCAAUGGGCACUACUGUGUUCAGUAGAAGUAGAGGAAGGCUGGCUGGAUCGUGACAUUAGAGAGAACUCUUGGUACCUGGAAAUGUGAAUCUGGAUUCUUACCUGUGUCAUCAAAGUAGUAAUGGAUUCAGUACUCCUGAACUCCUAACGAUUGAGAAGAAGGCAAACGAUAAAGAAAUCCCUCUAUUACACGAAUAAAAUGUUUAAGAAAAGAAAAAAGAAAGGAAAAGAGAUUAAUUUAGUGAAAGAUGGUUUUGCUCCUAGUUUUGAUUUCUGCCAGGAUUGAAAUAUUUCAAAAUCUCCAGUGUUUUUUAAGCUUUUUUCAAAACAGAUGUCUGAGGGAACCCAGCAGAAUAUGAACCAGUGUGGAGCUGGUUGUGGGAGCACACUUCCAUUAUGCUUGGCACAUAGGCCUCCUUGUGGCAGGAUCUGGGGGAGGUAGACUUUCCUCAUCUUCUCUCUUCCUGCCUCCCUCCCUUCUCCUGAUCCCCGUAGAUGGAAUAGAAAGCAGCCCUUGUUGCUGUAGAUGUGCCUGUGUCUGGCAGCCUUAAGCCCACCUGGGCACUUAUAGGAAAA